Molecule: ribosomal RNA, 497 nt
Filed under: uncultured bacterium
Lineage: Bacteria
Description: partial 16S ribosomal RNA
Rfam family: Bacterial small subunit ribosomal RNA
Source: RNAcentral
GAUGAACGCUGGCGGCGUGCCUAAUACAUGCAAGUCGAGCGAACAGAUGAGGAGCUUGCUCCUCUGACGUUAGCGGCGGACGGGUGAGUAACACGUGGAUAACCUACCUAUAAGACUGGGAUAACUUCGGGAAACCGGAGCUAAUACCGGAUAAUAUAUUGAACCGCAUGGUUCAAUAGUGAAAGACGGUUUUGCUGGCACUUAUAGAUGGAUCCGCGCCGCAUUAGCUAGUUGGUAAGGUAACGGCUUACCAAGGCAACGAUGCGUAGCCGACCUGAGAGAGUGAUCGGCCACACUGGAACUGAAACACGGUCCAGACUCCUACGGGAGGCAGCAGUAGGGAAUCUUCCGCAAUGGGCGAAAGCCUGACGGAGCAACGCCGCGUGAGUGAUGAAGGUCUUCGGAUCGUAAAACUCUGUUAUUAGGGAAGAACAAAUGUGUAAGUAACUAUGCACGUCUUGACGGUACCUAAUCAGAAAGCCACGGCUAACUACGUG